GUGGGGAAUAUUGGACAAUGGGCGAAAGCCUGAUCCAGCAAUGCCGCGUGAGUGAUGAAGGCCCUAGGGUUGUAAAGCUCUUUUACCCGGGAUGAUAAUGACAGUACCGGGAGAAUAAGUUCCGGCUAACUCCGUGCCAGCAGCCGCGGUAAUACGGAGGGAGCUAGCGUUGUUCGGAAUUACUGGGCGUAAAGCGCGCGUAGGCGGUUUUCCAAGUCAGGGGUGAAAGCCCGGGGCUCAACCCCGGAAUAGCCCUUGAAACUGGAAGACUAGAAUCUUGGAGAGGUCAGUGGAAUUCCGAGUGUAGAGGUGAAAUUCGUAGAUAUUCGGAAGAACACCAGUGGCGAAGGCGACUGACUGGACAAGUAUUGACGCUGAGGCGCGAAAGCGUGGGGAGCAAACAGGAUUAGAUACCCUAGUAGUCC
RNAcentral lists this ribosomal RNA (425 nucleotides) under uncultured bacterium. Its description in RNAcentral is "partial 16S ribosomal RNA". It matches the Rfam family "Bacterial small subunit ribosomal RNA", at positions 354 to 796 of the family's 1533-position model. The record is from RNAcentral.